RNAcentral lists this ribosomal RNA (497 nucleotides) under uncultured bacterium. RNAcentral's name for it is "partial 16S ribosomal RNA". It matches the Rfam family "Bacterial small subunit ribosomal RNA", at positions 28 to 507 of the family's 1533-position model. The record is from RNAcentral.
GAUGAACGCUGGCGGCGUGCCUAAUACAUGCAAGUCGAGCGAACAGACGAGGAGCAUGCUCCUCUGACGUUAGCGGCGGACGGGUGAGUAACACGUGGAUAACCUACCUAUAGGACUGGGAUAACUUCGGGAAACCGGAGCUAAUACCGGAUAAUAUAUUGAACCGCAUGGUUCAAUAGUGAAAGACGGUUUUGCUGUCACUUAUAGAUGGAUCCGCGCCGCAUUAGCUAGUUGGUAAGGUAACGGCUUACCAAGGCAACGAUGCGUAGCCGACCUGAGAGGGUGAUCGGCCACACUGGAACUGAGACACGGUCCAGACUCCUACGGGAGGCAGCAGUAGGGAAUCUUCCGCAAUGGGCGAAAGCCUGACGGAGCAACGCCGCGUGAGUGAUGAAGGUCUUCGGAUCGUAAAACUCUGUUAUUAGGGAAGAACAAAUGUGUAAGUAACUAUGCACGUCUUGACGGUACCUAAUCAGAAAGCCACGGCUAACUACGUG